Canis lupus familiaris (dog) is the source of this 107-nucleotide non-coding RNA. The record is from Rfam. NCBI's taxonomy places the organism in Eukaryota, Metazoa, Chordata, Mammalia, Carnivora, Canidae.
GUGCUUGCUUCGGCAGCACAUAGACUAACAUUGGAACAAUACAGAGAAGACUAGGAUGGCCUCUAUGCCAAGAUGACUUGCAAAUUCAUGAAGUGUUCCAUGUUUUC